GAUGAACGCUGGCGGCGUGCUUAACACAUGCCAGUCGAACGAAGCACUUUAUUUGUUUUCCUUCGGGACUGAUUAUUUUGUGACUGAGUGACGGACGGAUGAGUAACCCGUGGGUAACCUGCCUUUUACAGGGGGAUGACAGUAUGAAACGGCUGCUAAUACCGCAUAAGCGCCCGGCGUCGCAUGAUGCUGUGUGAAAACCUCCGGUGGUAUACGAUGGACCGUCGUUGGUUUAGCUAGUUGGGGAGGUCACGGCCCACCAAGGCGACGAUCCAUAGCCGAGCAGAGAGGGUGAGCGGCGACAUCGAGACUGAGACACGGCACAAAAUCCUACGGGAGGGAGCAGUGGGGGAUAGUGCACAAUGGGGGAAAGCCUGAUGCAGCGACGCCGGGUGAGCGAAGAAGUAUUUCGGUAUGUAAAGCUCUAGCAGCAGGGAAGAUAAUGACGGUACCUGACUAAGAAGCACCGGCUAACUACGUG
Molecule: ribosomal RNA, 481 nt
Filed under: uncultured bacterium
Lineage: Bacteria
Description: partial 16S ribosomal RNA
Rfam family: Bacterial small subunit ribosomal RNA
Source: RNAcentral